UCUUUUGCAUCCUCUUCAACUACACUAUACUUAGGGACACAAAGGAUGUGUUCGUGCUGAGAUUAUACCAUUUUUGAAGACAUGGGUUAAUUUGCCUAUGGCAGUUGGGUUCAUGUUGUUAUACACAAAGUUGGCUAAUGUGUUGUCAAAGAAGGCUCUUUUCUACACCGUUAUUGUUCCUUUCAUAAUCUUUUUUUGUUGUAUCCUCUCAGCAAUUACAUCCACCCUGAAGCACUCGCCGACAAGCUUCUUACAGUUCUUGGACCAAGAUUCCUUGGUCCUCUUGCAAUUCUGAGGAUUUGGAGUUUCUGUUUGUUCCAUGUCAUGGCUGAACUUAGGGUAGUGUGGUCAUUUCUGUUCUAUUUUGGGGGUUUGCUAAUCAGAUAACUACUGUAGAGGAAGCAAAGAGAUUCUAUCCUCUGUUUGGACUUGGAGCAAAUGUUGCCCUCAUUUUCUCUGGUCGAACUGUCAAGUACUUCUCUAAUAUGAGGCAAAAUCUGGGUCCUGGAGUUGAUGGUUGGGCCAUCUCCUUAAAGGGAAUGAUGAGCAUUGUGGUGCUGAUGGGAUAGCCAUCUGUUUUCUGUACUGGUGGGUGAAUAAUUUUGUUCCCCUUCCCACACGUAGCAAGAAGAAGAGGGAAAAGCCUAAAAUGGGAACAAUGGAGAGCCUGAAAUUCUUGGUGUCUUCAAGGUACAU
Molecule: long non-coding RNA, 696 nt
Organism: Hibiscus syriacus
Lineage: Eukaryota; Viridiplantae; Streptophyta; Magnoliopsida; Malvales; Malvaceae
Exons: 3
Source: RefSeq, a predicted model, not a curated record